UGCAGUGCUUGGUUAAAGGCCCAUGCUGU
Molecule: non-coding RNA, 29 nt
Filed under: Mus musculus (house mouse)
Lineage: Eukaryota; Metazoa; Chordata; Mammalia; Rodentia; Muridae
Source: RNAcentral